RNAcentral lists this ribosomal RNA (495 nucleotides) under uncultured bacterium. RNAcentral describes it as "partial 16S ribosomal RNA". It matches the Rfam family "Bacterial small subunit ribosomal RNA", at positions 28 to 507 of the family's 1533-position model. The record is from RNAcentral.
GACGAACGCUGGCGGCGUGCCUAAUACAUGCAAGUAGAACGCUGAAGGAGGAGCUUGCUUCUCUGGAUGGGUUGCGAACGGGUGAGUAACGCGUAGGUAACCUGCCUGGUAGCGGGGGAUAACUAUUGGAAACGAUAGCUAAUACCGCAUAAUAGUAGAUGUUGCAUGACAUUUUCUUAAAAGGUGCAAUUGCAUCACUACCAGAUGGACCUGCGUUGUAUUAGCUAGUUGGUGGGGUAACGGCUCACCAAGGCGACGAUACAUAGCCGACCUGAGAGGGUGAUCGGCCACACUGGGACUGAGACACGGCCCAGACUCCUACGGGAGGCAGCAGUAGGGAAUCUUCGGCAAUGGACGGAAGUCUGACCGAGCAACGCCGCGUGAGUGAAGAAGGUUGUCGGAUCGUAAAGCUCUGUUGUAAGAGAAGAACGAGUGUGAGAGUGGAAAGUUCACACUGUGACGGUAUCUUACCAGAAAGGGACGGCUAACUACGUG